RNAcentral lists this ribosomal RNA (645 nucleotides) under uncultured Ralstonia sp. Its description in RNAcentral is "bacterial SSU rRNA". It matches the Rfam family "Bacterial small subunit ribosomal RNA", at positions 90 to 731 of the family's 1533-position model. The record is from RNAcentral. Lineage: Bacteria; Pseudomonadati; Pseudomonadota; Betaproteobacteria; Burkholderiales; Burkholderiaceae.
GGCGAGUGGCGAACGGGUGAGUAAUACAUCGGAACGUGCCCUGUAGUGGGGGAUAACUAGUCGAAAGAUUAGCUAAUACCGCAUACGACCUGAGGGUGAAAGUGGGGGACCGCAAGGCCUCAUGCUAUAGGAGCGGCCGAUGUCUGAUUAGCUAGUUGGUGAGGUAAAGGCUCACCAAGGCGACGAUCAGUAGCUGGUCUGAGAGGACGAUCAGCCACACUGGGACUGAGACACGGCCCAGACUCCUACGGGAGGCAGCAGUGGGGAAUUUUGGACAAUGGGCGAAAGCCUGAUCCAGCAAUGCCGCGUGUGUGAAGAAGGCCUUCGGGUUGUAAAGCACUUUUGUCCGGAAAGAAAUGGCUCUGGUUAAUACCUGGGGUCGAUGACGGUACCGGAAGAAUAAGGACCGGCUAACUACGUGCCAGCAGCCGCGGUAAUACGUAGGGUCCAAGCGUUAAUCGGAAUUACUGGGCGUAAAGCGUGCGCAGGCGGUUGUGCAAGACCGAUGUGAAAUCCCCGAGCUUAACUUGGGAAUUGCAUUGGUGACUGCACGGCUAGAGUGUGUCAGAGGGGGGUAGAAUUCCACGUGUAGCAGUGAAAUGCGUAGAGAUGUGGAGGAAUACCGAUGGCGAAGGCAGCCCCCUG